RNAcentral lists this ribosomal RNA (253 nucleotides) under uncultured bacterium. RNAcentral describes it as "partial 16S ribosomal RNA". It matches the Rfam family "Bacterial small subunit ribosomal RNA", at positions 524 to 776 of the family's 1533-position model. The record is from RNAcentral.
UACGUAGGGUGCGAGCGUUGUCCGGAAUUAUUGGGCGUAAAGAGCUCGUAGGUGGUUUGUCGCGUUGUUCGUGAAAACUCACAGCUUAACUGUGGGCGUGCGGGCGAUACGGGCAGACUAGAGUACUGCAGGGGAGACUGGAAUUCCUGGUGUAGCGGUGGAAUGCGCAGAUAUCAGGAGGAACACCGGUGGCGAAGGCGGGUCUCUGGGCAGUAACUGACGCUGAGGAGCGAAAGCGUGGGGAGCGAACAGG